CCAAAGGCUCUUUUCAGAGCUACUCACCUGCCUCAGUGAAAGAAGCU
This is a non-coding RNA of Callithrix jacchus (white-tufted-ear marmoset), 47 nucleotides long. The record is from Rfam. Lineage: Eukaryota; Metazoa; Chordata; Mammalia; Primates; Cebidae.